UAAGGAAUAUUGGACAAUGGACGCAAGUCUGAUCCAGCCAUGCCGCGUGAAGGAUGAAUGUCCUCUGGAUUGUAAACUUCUUUUAUAGGGGGCGAAAGUGAGUUUUUCUAAGCUUUUUGACGGUACCCUAUGAAUAAGCACCGGCUAACUCCGUG
Molecule: ribosomal RNA, 155 nt
Filed under: uncultured Persicobacter sp.
Lineage: Bacteria; Pseudomonadati; Bacteroidota; Cytophagia; Cytophagales; Persicobacteraceae
Description: partial 16S ribosomal RNA
Rfam family: Bacterial small subunit ribosomal RNA
Source: RNAcentral